Molecule: ribosomal RNA, 1584 nt
Filed under: Serratia marcescens
Lineage: Bacteria; Pseudomonadati; Pseudomonadota; Gammaproteobacteria; Enterobacterales; Yersiniaceae
Description: partial 23S ribosomal RNA
Rfam family: Bacterial large subunit ribosomal RNA
Source: RNAcentral
GGUUAAGUGACUAAGCGUACACGGUGGAUGCCUAGGCAGUCAGAGGCGAUGAAGGGCGUGCUAAUCUGCGAAAAGCGUCGGUAAGGUGAUAUGAACCGUUACAACCGGCGAUACCCGAAUGGGGAAACCCAGUGUGUUUCGACACACUAUCAUGUCAUGAAUACAUAGUGGCAUGAGGCGAACCGGGGGAACUGAAACAUCUAAGUACCCCGAGGAAAAGAAAUCAACCGAGAUUCCCCCAGUAGCGGCGAGCGAACGGGGAGGAGCCCAGAACCUGAAUCGGCUUGUGUGUUAGUGGAAGCGUCUGGAAAGUCGCGCAGCAAAGGGUGAUAGCCCCGUACACUAAAAUGCACAGGUCGUGAGUUCGAUGAGUAGGGCGGGACACGUGACAUCCUGUCUGAAUAUGGGGGGACCAUCCUCCAAGGCUAAAUACUCCUGACUGACCGAUAGUGAACCAGUACCGUGAGGGAAAGGCGAAAAGAACCCCGGCGAGGGGAGUGAAAUAGAACCUGAAACCGUGUACGUACAAGCAGUGGGAGCACCUUCGUGGUGUGACUGCGUACCUUUUGUAUAAUGGGUCAGCGACUUAUAUUUUGUAGCAAGGUUAACCGUAUAGGGGAGCCGUAGGGAAACCGAGUCUUAACUGGGCGAAUAGUUGCAAGGUAUAGACCCGAAACCCGGUGAUCUAGCCAUGGGCAGGUUGAAGGUUGGGUAACACUAACUGGAGGACCGAACCGACUAAUGUUGAAAAAUUAGCGGAUGACUUGUGGCUGGGGGUGAAAGGCCAAUCAAACCGGGAGAUAGCUGGUUCUCCCCGAAAGCUAUUUAGGUAGCGCCUCGUGAACUCAUCUUCGGGGGUAGAGCACUGUUUCGGCUAGGGGGCCAUCCCGGCUUACCAAACCGAUGCAAACUCCGAAUACCGAAGAAUGUUAUCACGGGAGACACACGGCGGGUGCUAACGUCCGUCGUGAAGAGGGAAACAACCCAGACCGCCAGCUAAGGUCCCAAAGUCAUGGUUAAGUGGGAAACGAUGUGGGAAGGCAUAGACAGCCAGGAUGUUGGCUUAGAAGCAGCCAUCAUUUAAAGAAAGCGUAAUAGCUCACUGGUCGAGUCGGCCUGCGCGGAAGAUGUAACGGGGCUAAACCAUGCACCGAAGCUGCGGCAGCGACGCUUAGGCGUUGUUGGGUAGGGGAGCGUUCUGUAAGCCGUUGAAGGUGGCCUGUGAGGGUUGCUGGAGGUAUCAGAAGUGCGAAUGCUGACAUAAGUAACGAUAAAGCGGGUGAAAAGCCCGCUCGCCGGAAGACCAAGGGUUCCUGUCCAACGUUAAUCGGGGCAGGGUGAGUCGACCCCUAAGGCGAGGCUGAAAAGCGUAGUCGAUGGGAAACAGGUUAAUAUUCCUGUACUUGGUGUUACUGCGAAGGGGGGACGGAGAAGGCUAGGCUAGCCGGGCGACGGUUGUCCCGGUUUAAGCGUGUAGGGGGUGUGACCUGGUAAAUCCGGUUGCAUACUAACCCUGAGGCGUGAUGACGAUGCACUACGGUGCAGAAGUAGUUGAUGCCCUGCUUCCAGGAAAAGCCUCUAAGC